Gallus gallus (chicken) is the source of this 11497-nucleotide long non-coding RNA. NCBI's taxonomy places the organism in Eukaryota, Metazoa, Chordata, Aves, Galliformes, Phasianidae. The record is from Ensembl.
GCCCGACCCAGCUGGAGCAGCUCCCUCCCGUCCCGUCCCGCCCCAUUCCGUCCCGUCCCGUCCUGUCUCUCCCGGCCGUCCCGUCCCUGCGCCCAGCACCGCUCCCCGGCACGUUGGGACCCCCGCAAUUAGCGGCACUCCCGAAGCGCUCAGCCCGGGUGUCCGCGAGUCGCUCCCACCGGAGCGGUCUGGGCCCGUGGGAAGGGCGGAAAGGCUGUCAUGGACACCCUUCUGUACCUCUCCCCUUAGCAGAACCCCGUGACACAGUAUGGUCCAUCACAUUUUAUUGCUGAGACAUCGACAUCACAGGACAGACCCGAGUAACACAUGCACGCAUUUAUUCUGUUUGCAGGCAUCGAGAUUUUUGUUACACAAAUAGGAAUAAUUCCCAGCGCUCAUUGUUCUGCGGCUCAAAGUGGCCACAAAGCCUUUGUAGGGCGGCAGGUCGGCACCUCCCGGUACCAGAGCCGCCCUCCCGAGCAUCGUUAACGCGGCGGUCCGUUCCCUGCGCCCGUCGGAGCGCACGGGGCCGCGCAGCCCCAGGACAGCACCUUGAGCCCCUCCCGCCCGGCUGGGGAUCGCCUCAGCCCACACCGAGAGGCGGCGAUGAAACCGGUGUCCGUCAUGUCGCCUGUUCGCUUCAAAAAGGGCACAUCCUGACCUCGCUUCCCCAUGUGGAAGGUUGUCUCCAACCUUUACACAGAUGCGUCUGAACGCACAGAAACAUGCGUUUUUUCCCCUUCCAGCCCGGCUUUAUUCUCUCUAUUUUCUACUUUCUCCCCUUUGGCCAAAAGGAAGCUCCCCGGGUGUCUGCGAGUGCAUGCGAAGGGACAGUAACCCCGCAGCACUCCCGAGCCACACCGGGAACCCCCCGCGUCACUUCACUCCCCCAAAAAACUGUUGAUCUCCUCCAAGUGAGAGGCUGAACCUUUCCAUUUAGGGUUCAUGGCUGCGUCGCUCCCUUCCUCCUAUCCCGUCCUUUUUCCCGAAUUCCCAGUUUGGGAUUGCCGGGGCUCCCCGAGCUGCCCCGGGGCUCAGGCAGGGGCAAAGCGGGAGUCGGGACGGUUACGUUUGGUGUCAGGCAGGGCAGGAGGCAGCGACACCGCUUCUCAGCCAACUGGACGAGGAUGGGAUCUAUUAUUAUUAUUAUUAUUAUUAUUAUUGUUAUUGUUGUUAUUGCUAUUAUUAUUGUUGCUAUUACUAUUGCUGCUGUUAUUUACCAUUAUAGCUUGUUAUAAUUUAUUAUGAUGAUAUGCGAUUUGAAAUCAUCCAUUUGCAACUUGCAAAGCACCACUACAUUCACCUUAAACCUGCUUUCUGUCCCAGCCAAUGGUGGCAGGGGCCGGCUAGCCUGUCCCCCCGGAGCAUUAACCCUUGUCGCGAGCUGCAGAGAGAGAGGAGCUGAGCUUUGGCCCCGAGGAGCUGUGUGCAUGGAUCUGGCACAGCUUUGCUCCUUUCACUCCUGGACCUUUGUUUUGGUGGCGAGCGGGGAGAGCAGGGAGCGCUGUGCUCGCGUUUCCCUCCGGCUUACGCACACACACACACACACACACACACAUACACACACACACACACACACACACAAAUCCCCUUUCCAACUUUCUGCCUUUUGCGCUUCCCUCCCAGUUUUUCACUUCUCAGACCUACUGGCAGCAUUUGCCGAGAUCUAGAUCCCCGCCGUGGCUGAUAAAUGAACAGGUAAACAAACUAUACAAGCUAUGAUUACUUUCGAGGAAAUCUACUUUAGGUCUGUUUCAAUUCAUAUUCUGGACAUAGAAAUGAUAUUUCUUUCUAUUUUUUUUUCUGGACACAUUUCAGCUUCACUACUCAAGGACUGAAUGGAUCAUGAUUACAGAGUUUUUUUAAGGGCAUCUGUUCUCAGCCACAGCUGAGGAUGGGGCCCAUGGAGCUGACUGGAAGGAUCCACCUAGAAUUUGUUGAAUUAAGUCCUUGCACCUGGAUAUAAUUGUCAUGCUGCUGUGCUGGGGUUUUCUUAAGCUACUGGUAAAACAAAUUAGCUCAAUUUAAACUGGCAUCCAGUAGGGAAGCAACAACUCACCUCAUAUAAUAUUUUUCAAAUAAUUAUUUUUCUAUUGCCAGUUUUGCUUCAUGAAUGUUUUCCAAAAGGCAGGGUGAAUUGUUGGGAAAUUUUUUUUUAAGUUAAGCACAAGACACAACAAAAAACAUUCUAUUCUGCAUAUCUGCUGAGUUGCAACUAAUAUUAGAGUACUGUGCACUUAAUAAUUGUAUGUGACUGUCUUAAAUAUAAAAGCCACAAACAUAAAUGAAGGUAACUAUAGAUACAACAGGCCACAAAUACAAUAUAACAACCCUCCCCCACCCUUUCCCAAACAAUUUUCAGUGCAUAUACUUCAUACUCCUUUUGCCAGAUUUAGCACUGUAAUGAUAUAACUGCUUUUACAUUUGGGAAAAAUUCAUGGAAGUUUUUUUGGUUGAACAGUAGACAAAGGUAUUCAUUUAUGUCUGACACGGGAAUUCGUAUAAAUACCAUGGGAUCUCAUUUCCUUUUAUAGUUUAGAGCCUUUAAACUUGACAACAAAAUUCAUAAGUUUCCUGGAAGGUCCACAAAGGCUCCUUGCCUCGGCUGCACUCGCAGUGGCAGUACUUUGCUUGAAUCCCUGGAAUGUGUGCAUCUGUGUUAGCUUCAGCUUCCCUUAAUAUCCUCCAAAUGUAGACUCCAGUGGAAAAGGAUGAAAAAUCAUUUAUUCAGCUGAGUGCUUCAGAGUGACUUCUGAAAUGGAAGAUGCAGCACUCUCUAUCAGCUUUCUACAUAGCACUGUUGUAUUUUAUUCUAUGAUUCCAUUUGGAUGGAGCCCUGGGCAAUCUGAUCUGGUACCAGAUCUGAAGGUUGGUGGCCUUGUCUGUGGUGGGGGAUUGGAACUUGAUGAUCCUUAGGGUCCUUACCAACCCAAGCCAUUCUGUGAUGUUAUUAGGAAGUGAUGCGCUAAUCUGGAGAGGAGAGGGAACGUGUUCACUAACUGUGGGUGGGAGCUGCUGAUAUGUCUCUCAAACUAUCCUGGUGGAGCUACUUCAGCUGCUGUCCUUGUGAGCGGGUUAUGUCACUUGAUUUGCCUUCUAAGAUGCAGCACAACUGGUUAAAAAAUAACCAUUGAAUUAUAUAUCAGACUGUAGCUACUUAUUAUAUUUUAAACAAGUUUCAAAAUAUUUUGUGAGAUCAAGAAUAUAUUUUAUUUUAAUAAGUGGACUACUGAUCACCUUACAGAUUCUGGCAGAAAUAUGGAUGUUCAUAUUAUCAUAAACCAUUUUCUAAGCCAUGCUCUAUUUAAUUUGGGUAGGCUGAAAUGCCACGGGAAUGCGAAUUAGGAGAGCAGUGCUUUUUGAAGGGUGGCAAAAUACCCAGAGAUCAAAAGUUAAAUGUGAAGUUGCUGUCAGUCCUUCAGCUGUGCAGUGAAUUUCAAAUUUUGGAAAGUAUGUGUGCAGUAGCUCCAGUAACUAGCUGAAUUGCAACGGAUGUGGCACUGGGACCCGUAGGGAAGUGCUGGAUGCAUGGGACAGUGUGGGCUGGUGCAUGAAAUAACCCUGCCCGAAUCAUCAUCAUCUGCUUUCUGUGGAGGAGGCCACCAGAGCUGCCGAGCCCUGACUCGCUCUGCACACCCAGCGAGAAGUUCUGCUUUCAACUGUGCAUCUGAACUGCCCUGAAUCAAUGUGUAUGGGAAUGGGCAAGUUGCUUUCAUACAAUAUUCCUUUUUAUAAGCUCAUUUUUCUUGAGCUUCAGGGGAAAUAAAAAAUGUCAGUUUUCCCUCCAAGUUGUGUAAGCGCCGUGGCAGGCUGAGAGGCUGCCUCACCCCUCCCUGUGCUCCCUCUCCUGUCUGGGGUUCCAAGGAGGAGAAGGCAAAGCAAACUGAGCUCAAGGUCCUUCUUAUCCUUAUGUGACAAUAAUCCUAGGCCUGCACUUAGAGAGAAGCUUCCAGUGGGAAAUUAAGCUAAACUGAAAAGCAUAACAAAACCCAAAUCAUCUAGACUGCAAAAAUUCCUCCAGUGUUUCGUUCUUUAAUGCUUAUUAAUAGAGACAAUGCUAAACCCAAAAGGAAGCCAGCAAUAUCCUGUUCUUUUUUUUUUUUUUUUGAUAUAACAUGGAUUUUUGUUUAGUAAACUCCAUGUCAGAUCUUCUAAUUUAAUUACUGAACUCACAAUGUGGAUAAACGCACAGACAUGACUAAUAGUAUUCUCUUAUAAUUUCAUUACAGGGUAAUAGAUGUGCGGUUUAUAAAACAGAUUUUUUUUCCUCUGCUACAGAGUGUUUAUAAUAUAAAUGAACUCUCACAUCCUGCUUUCUUUCUCUCCUUACUCUCUUUUCAUUUCUUUUUAGAUUUGAUUCAUAGAAAAAUGCAAGUGAUGCGUGCCACUGAUUUGGGUCAUCUGCACGCAAUUCAAAAGGAAAAGGUGAUUUUUUUCAUUGCCUGCCAAGUAAGUGGGAGAGGUGUAGGAAAAAGUGGAUUUAUGCAUAAAAUGCAAAACUCCAGAUGAAAGAACGGACCUCUUUUAUCAUCGUAGAAAGAAUCCAUCUGCAAUAAUUACCAGUCAGGCUAUCUGCACCCUAUGUUACUUCGUGACAUCUGAGAACUGCUGCGCUCCUUGAACCAAUAGCCGUUAUAUAGCAACCAGCAUCACUCCUGAAUGAAAAAAUUGGCCCAACCACUGGUGAAUGGCACUCAGUAGGUUUCCCAUUGAACUGUGCUGCGAAACAAUGAUGCACAUUGGUAAAUCACUGUGUGUGCCUUUCAGUUCUUAUGCAUAUCCCGUACUGGACAGCUUCCAUUCACUCCGGCACCCACUGCAAACAAAUGUAACUAUGCAUCAAAGAUGAAAGUGAAAAUGCGUAUGUUAAAUCCCAAAUGGAAGCACAAGGGUGUAAUAUAUACAUAGUUGCUUAGCAACAAACAUGUUUUGGCCACAGGAACUGUGACAUCAGUCAGAGAAGCGGGAGGGAAGCUGCUCUGCCCUUCUUCUCUGCUUCCCUUCAUAAAGGUCUUUCCUUAUUUCUUUUAAAGCAGAAGAUAGAGGGCUAUUGUGGAUGUUUGUUUGCACUAUUAACGCAUCAUUUGGACUUUUCUUUGGGGAGGGAAACCUCCUUUUGCUCUGAGGAUCUGUCGCAAUGGAGCGCGCCCUCCCUCAGCCAGGUGUUCUGGUCCCGGCUUUGUGGCUCUCUGUGGGCUCCAUUUUAGCUGAAAUGCUCACUUAGGAGAAAUGAAGCGCUAAGGCCGAAAAUACAAAAUGUAGGAAUUCAACAACUAUUUUUUGGUGUCACUCACUCUGUGUCACGCCUUUCUCUUCAGCUGCUAGAAGCUCUCUACUGAUAUUUCACAUUUUUUUAGCUCUAUAUUUUUUUUCAUAACAGAAACAGCAUUUAUUUCAGUAAAUCACACAGUACCUAUGACCAGCUGAUAGACAUUCAUCAACUGCACUGAUUUUACAGAUGGUCAGAAUCUCUCUUCCCUCCUUUACUACUUUCUCCUCUUCCCUGCAUGCUAUGGGAGCCUCUGCAAUGGGAGGCAGAAGAGAGGACUGGUCAGUGUUGGCCCAAGGUACACACUGCCCAGUGCCACCUGCUGCCACUGACAUCAACCAAAGUUCUCUACAUAGCCAAUGUGCCUCAUGCUUUCAGAAGUCUGCUUUCUUCACUGGACCACAGCAUCUUCCACAUGUAGAAAUAUUGCACAUUCAGGUUCAAAUCGAUCUGCCAGCCUGGAUUGCUGUAGACAUAUCCCCGAAUACAUUACUUUAGAGUGUUUCCUUUUAAUUUAAGGUAAUGAAUGUACUUUGGCGGAUCCCCAGUGGGGGGAAAAGAACAUUUCUGGCAUGCACUUCUCUUUGCAAAGAAGGCUUUCUUGACAGUGUGAGAGACAUGUAGGAAUGCAAGAUGUAUUGAAGAACUCAAAUGAAAUUAAAAUUGUGGAUGAAAGCAGGGUUAAAGAAGCAUUAGGGUUAAAAUAAGGCCUUGAUUUUCACUCAUGGAGCUAUUAUGUAGAUAGUGUUUUACUUGCUUUCAUUUUCUGUGAAUUCACACAGACUCUUUUUUAUAUGAUAGCACAAAUCAAAUUGACAAGGUUUAACUGAUAACCUCUUGCACUUACCAUCAGAUUAAUUUUGGGAAAGAAAAUGGGUCAUUCUGAAAAUAGUGAAGAAUCUGAUAUAAGGUAUGGUGGUGUCUCUGAGGUCAAUAGAGAAGUGUGCAUCAAAACACAAGGUAAGACAAAAAGGUUAUAUGAUGAAAGGAUGGAAAACUGGAAAAAAGUAUAAUAUUGAUUCUAUCUGAAAUGAAGAACCAAGCAAAUGACCCAGGAUCUGGAUGGGGUGGUGUUCUGAAUAAGGCAUCAUUGUGGAUUGCGGAUUCUUGUCUACGUUUCCUCUCUGUGACUUAAAUCAGUUAUCCCAGAAUUUUUUUGCAGCCUGAAUGGAGUACUGUGUAGCCUGACCCUACGGAAACCAAAUUAACAUCUGGAUUUGAAGUACAUGGCUGACUCUUCAGAAAUACAAUACAUGAAACUGGGAUCCCAUAUCUGAGAGUGGUUGGCAGCUUGAGCGACGAACUGAGAUUUGUUGGCUGGGGAUCAACCCAAGAAAUUCCACCAAUAUGCUACUGUGCUGUUUCCCCUGUAAACUCUUCUUUUUUUUUAAUUUGUGAAACAAAUGACUAUAUCAGCUGAAAGGAUAAUUAAACUAACAACCAAAAUAAAUGCUUUAAGGGCCUGUCAGAUUGCCAGUAUUUUAAAUGUGAAUUAUCAAAAAUUUUAAUGGUAAUUGCUCUCACUGAGUGAAGCAGGAUUUUACAAUUCACAUUAGUUACUGAACUAUUUCCAAAUGUACACAGUUUAUCUCUGUGAUCCUAUUCUUUCAACAUAGGUUCAACCAUUUGUCAAGCAUUGGCUUUCUGAGCAGUGUAAGUUACAAUUUUAGUAAUGAAAUCAUUGUCUUCUCCUACCAUGUAGAUGGACAGGUAGUUUCUUUUUGGGAGGGUAGACAUAGCUUAAUGUUAAGCAAAGAUUAUGCAUGUACUCAUGCUUUCAGCAGUUGUGAAGCUCCAAACAAAUACAAAAUCUUUUAAAAUACCUCGAAGGUUACUGUUAAAUUUGGCUCCUAUUUUAUUCUGCCAUGGGGUACUCUGAAAGGUGGAAUAGAAACAGGAGGAAUACAGUGCUGGAAAUCACAUGAAGAUUCAAGUCACAUCAUCCCUGACAAAAUUCACAUAAUGAGGAGCAAAGUUGGAGCUAGAACUCAAGCUGAUGCUUUAAUUUUUUUGGUUGUUGUUGUUUGCCUUUGACCACAUCACCAGCUUCCCUUAGUUCAUUCCCUUUUCUCUUUGAUAGAUAGUUCUGUUCAUGGCUGCAGUCACUGCCUUGAACGAGGACUCUUUUCAAGAUUCAUCAUCUUUUCUGUGUUCUUGAUUUCAAACACUGACCCUUUUGCUUGUAGAGAAAAGCUGUGUUUUUGAUGGAAAAGAAGUCAGCACCUAUUUGCAAAAUUAAAGGUGGAAAAGAGCAAUGCAAAUUCUAAGCUGUGCACAAUGAUCUCUAGUUAUCUGUUAACCAUCUUUUAGACUGAGUGUCACUUCUGCCCCACUUCAUUAUAUUUGUUUUUGUGUCUGAAACAGCCUCUAUCACAAAAGUCAAUAGUCAUAGUCUUGACAAAACCUAACAGAAAAUGGAUGCUUUCUUGGCUGGAAAACCAUUCAUGGAAACAGUUCAAAUAGAAAUCUGCACCAGGCAGGGAGACUGGAGUCUCACUGCUUAAUGUUGGUAGUGUCCUGCAUGAGAAAAACAACAAUGCUAGCUACAUCCAGGGAAAGCUACAGGUGGAACUGGAAAUCAGACAGGAGAAGUGACUGUAAUAUGUAAUUCAACAGGUGGAGAAAGAAGUAGGUACUUACUAUAUAUACAGGAGAAAUCUGCUGCAGAAUUGCUGGAGCAAAAGCAACAUAUUUAGUUCUAAAAAAAAAAAAAGGGUGGAGAAGUUUAUAGACUCAACCUUUACUCCAAUGAAAGGAUGUUGUGAAAAAGACAAAUGUAUUACUGAGAUUUUAAUUUUUUUUUAAAUUUUAUUUUAAAAUAAAGAUAUCCUAGAAGGCAGCUAUAGGUUUUUUUUGUAACUUGCUUAGCAUGAUCAAACAUAUGGGAUUACUUUCCAGAAAGGAUGUGGAGCAAUGGAGUAGAUUGAACUAAGCAGUCAGAAUGGCUGACAAGGAAACCGGAAGAACCAGGGCUGUUUAGGGCAUACAAAGAGGGAACAUAAUGGUUUUCAAAUAUGUACGAAUUUACCACAGAGAAGAAAGUAAUGAAUUGUUUAACACUUUUUCUCUGCAUUGUGCGAAAAUAUAGACUUGAAGAACUCUAAAAGAAAUCUAGGCUAGCUGUUACAAAAAGUCACGAUUAAGGAACAGAUCAGAUUGCACAGUGAAAAAGGUGUGUGUUUUCACUGGUGAAAGACUAUAAAAACAAGUUAAAUAAACAUCUGUCAAAAAUAGCAUAGCUAUAGUUGAUUUUUGACCUCCUAAAAUCUUUUUCAGCUCUGCUUUCUGUUAUUUUCUCCAAGUGGAUUCUGCUGCUUGGAUGUUUGUUGGUAAAGCCAGCAAUCAAAAUAAUAAUGUAGAAGCAGAGCCCUGUAAACACAGAGGCUCUGGUAUGGUUUCUAGUCAUGUCAUUUACCCUCUAGUGGAAAGUGCCAAGAUAUGUGCUUUGGAAGACUCGUAGGGCACAUAGCUGCAUGUCAGCCUAUUUCAAUUAGUGUGUUGAAAUGGCGGAUUACACAUCUCUAUAAAAAUUAAAUUGGUCUCAUCUCUGAAAUUACAACAAGCCUGAGGAUCCAAUCAGAAAAUCAAUUCUUGAGCACCUCAGUUUCAGGGAGGACUGAAAGGCGUUGUACCACUGUUUCUGUGCCCCACUGCUGAUUCUGGCCCCCACUCUCACGAUACCAAGCACCACAGACAAAAGAAAGCAUUACAGACAGCAAUCUCCAACACAUGUGUUAAGGGAGCUGUAAUGCCAGGGCCUGAACUGAUGAUUGAGCACCUGGUGAAGGGGCGGGCCAGCCCAGGAAGCACAGGUGCAAGCAAUUCACCCGUGCCUCCCAUGUGACCAGAAGAGGUAGGCCCAGGGCCCAUCCCCACCUGAGCUCAUUUAAGGGCUAGCCUCUGAGAGAGGGUGCACGUCUCCUGGAUGAAUGCUGCUUUCUAAGGAGUGCUUUGUAGCUAUAGACGGGAUCAUCAGUUGGGUGAGUUAACUUUUCCUGUGUAUUUAUAUUGGUAGUUCUACUGAAUGCUUUGCUCGGUGUUGUUGCGAAUCGUCGGGGACAAUGUUACUGUUUCCAAGGACCAUCAACACAGCUUUCUGCUCAGUGUGUUGGCUGCUGAGAGGCUGGUUAGCACAGGGAGCCUUAGUUCUAUGGUUUCUGAAGGUAGUUUUACUGCAUGUUCAAAACUCCUGUGUGCUUCUGUGGAGCUCUGUUGCUAUUGUAGGCUGAGACUGGAAAGUUUCUCAGAUGAUCUGACUUUCAUUUCAUGCUAGUUAAUUAGUGCUGCUAUCCCUGAAGCUGCUGGUGAUUGCUGAGGUCCCGUCCACCUGUGUGGCCUUUCCUGUGGCUCUGCAUGUUCUGCUGGUGAUUGUCAGGCAGGUUUUGGACGGGCCCUGAGAACUCCUUUACUAUAUGUAGUUGCUUGUGAGGGGGCUGUUCUCUGCUAUGGUGUCCCAGCCCAUAUUGGUCACAAGAAAUCUUUAGAGAAGAGCAAAUAUGGAGGUGAGGCUGGGUGAAGUUCAGGAGGACUCCUGAGGGUUAGUCCUGUGUAGGCGGAUCUAGCUCUGUCUGUGAAGGCAGUGAUAUUGUUGUCUCCCCAACAUCCUUUCUAAAAGUGGUGCUCCAGGAUGUCUCACUAGCAUGUGGGUGGAUUCAGCAUUGCAUUUCUAGUGAACCAAAGUACAGAAUUCUUGAGAAAUAAGCUCAGGAGACACUAUUUCCAUAACUCUCCUCCUUGGGACCGGAGGAAGGGGAGAUAGGAAGAUUUAUGAAAUUACAGGAAGUAAAAACAAAUAAAUUGCUGUCUUUUCUGAUACCACAUGCAUGAGCUCUGAAAGUACUGGUUUCUGGAUGUGAGCAAAUAUCAGAUAUAUUAUUAUCUCAGUAGAUUUGUUGCCUUGGCUUUUAAUUCAGUUCAUGGAUGAAUACUGAAGAAUGGGGAACAAUCAGAUAGGUGUCCUGGUUGGCACUUCUGAAAGGAGAGGCUUGGAGGCCCAUCUAUCUGGCCUGGAUCAAAAUAUAUGUUUUUAAAUUUCCUACUAAAGGAAACUUCUGCAUUAUUUAAAGUGACAUUGAUAAGCGUGGAAGAAAAUGAAUUUUAAAUAGCAGUGUUUUGAAAUGAAAAUGUUCUUUUCAGACAAGACUAGAAUAAAAUGCUUUGAAACUCUUCUGCUUUGUUUUGUUGAAGAAGUACAGUGUUGGACGCACUCUUAAAGGAGGUUUUCAUUUUGAAAAAGUAACUUUGUCUACCUGAAAAGCAUCUCCCAGCUCUACUCAGACCUACUGAUUUGUGGUAGCGAUUGUCUGAGAUGCAUAAAUCACUUGGGUACUUAUGAGUACUCUGCCCAAGAACAGAUUUAUCAUAUUUAAUGUCUUAAAUAUUUGUUGAACAACUUGCACGAAAUCCUCUGUACAAUAAUUUUUUCCUGAUCAAUUCCGUAUUUAUAGUGUUAAUCAUUUCUCUGCAGUUAAUUAAGAGAAUUGAUGGCUCUUAAGCUUCCUUAAGCUGAUCCUUUAAAUAAGUAUAUCAAGCAAGAUCUCCAUUACCCAAAUCAGACACCAUCACAGUAGCUGUACAGAGAGCCAAAGAGACAGGAGCACAGAUCUGGAGAGUAUCCACAGGGACUUAACAAACAAAAAAGUAAUAUUUCAAGCUCAUGUCUCAGUGGAAUGGUGAAAUAAUAGCGAUAUAAUCAAGGGAGGGUUUGUGUAUACCUUACAGUUUAAAAACCUUUUGCCUCAGCCACGCUAAUGCUCUGAAACAAGGAUGUUGAUUAUAUGACCAAUUGUUUAGCAUGUGUUCCUAAACUGGUUUAUAAUUACCGAAUUAAUCUCUCUGAGGUAUUAAAAGCCUAUUUGCACAAUCUUUGUAAAACUAAAAAGGAAGCAGAGCACUUUACCUGUGUUGAUACGGAGCCCUACAAACAGCAACUAUUUGUUUUGUAGCUGUUGUGGCUCUGGGAACAAGUAAAUAUAAACAGCAGGAAACACAAAUACAGAGGCAGUGCAAUUGGAGGCUGUCAGGAAGCAGUAUGGUGGCUUCAGGAGCUGAAUUCUGCUUGAAAUAAGCUUUGUCUCAGUAUGCGUAAGAGGCUUUGGCACUGUAUCAGACCUCUGGGGAAGCCACUCAGCAGGGUGGGGAUUACUAUAGUUUGUGCUUCCCAAUUCACAGCAAACUUGCUUCCCUGUCAUACUCGUGCAUUAACUCUCUCUGUCCCACCUCGUCGCU